AUUGAACGCUGGCGACAUGCCUUACACAUGCAAGUCGAACGGCAGCACGGGAGCAAUCCUGGUGGCGAGUGGCGAACGGGUGAGUAAAGUAUCGGAACGUGCCCAGUCGUGGGGGAUAACGUAGCGAAAGUUACGCUAAUACCGCAUACGAUCUAUGGAUGAAAGCGGGGGAUCGCAAGACCUCGCGCGAUUGGAGCGGCCGAUAUCAGAUUAGGUAGUUGGUGGGGUAAAGGCUCACCAAGCCGACGAUCUGUAGCUGGUCUGAGAGGACGACCAGCCACACUGGGACUGAGACACGGCCCAGACUCCUACGGGAGGCAGCAGUGGGGAAUUUUGGACAAUGGGCGAAAGCCUGAUCCAGCCAUGCCGCGUGCAGGAUGAAGGCCUUCGGGUUGUAAACUGCUUUUGUACGGAACGAAAAGGUUUGGCCUAAUAAGCUGAGCUCAUGACGGUACCGUAAGAAUAAGGACCGGCUAACUACGUGCCAGCCGCCGCGGUAA
Molecule: ribosomal RNA, 500 nt
Filed under: uncultured bacterium
Lineage: Bacteria
Description: partial 16S ribosomal RNA
Rfam family: Bacterial small subunit ribosomal RNA
Source: RNAcentral